Molecule: ribosomal RNA, 247 nt
Filed under: uncultured bacterium
Lineage: Bacteria
Description: partial 16S ribosomal RNA
Rfam family: Bacterial small subunit ribosomal RNA
Source: RNAcentral
AUACGUAGGGCGCGAGCGUUGUCCGGAAUUAUUGGGCGUAAAGAGCUCGUAGGCGGCUUGUCGCGUCUGCUGUGAAAUCCUGGGGCUUAACUCUGGGCGUGCAGUGGGUACGGGCAGGCUAGAGUGCGGUAGGGGUGAUUGGAAUUCCUGGUGUAGCGGUGGAAUGCGCAGAUAUCAGGAGGAACACCGAUGGCGAAGGCAGGUCACUGGGCCGUUACUGACGCUGAGGAGCGAAAGCAUGGGGAGC